This 271-nucleotide long non-coding RNA is filed under the name Homo sapiens (human). RNAcentral describes it as "HSALNT0007957". Lineage: Eukaryota; Metazoa; Chordata; Mammalia; Primates; Hominidae. The record is from RNAcentral.
UCCCCCACCUGUCUCCAGGCACUGCAAACACAGCUGUGUAAGAAGGAGACAGUCAACGCUUCCAAGGAAAGAAAUAAGCAGCAGUUGCUACAACCACCUGAGCAUCAAAUGGGCAAUUAAUUGGAACAGAUUUAAUAAAUGUACUAGAGAAGGGAGCUGUAUGUUUAUGGACUACAGUCCUUUCAUGGUCAUGCAUAAUGGACCAGACACUUUUCCACCCAGCUGCUUAUGCUACCACAGUGAACACAAAAUUUACAUACCUGGAAGAAAA